GAUGCAGUGGAUAAGAGUUGAAACUAUAUGUGAAUGCUUUGUAUCCUACAGUUUAGUCUGAUUUUCUUUCCUUGUGUGAGUAAGUAUUGGUCAGUGACUAACAUAGGAUUUGAAAACGCACAUCCUAUUUCUGGGUCAGGUGCAAUAUAGUUUAAUUUUAGCCUGUGUUAAAUGUGGAGUUGCUUCCUUCUGUUUACAUCUGAGGACUUGAUGUGAUUUAGGUUUCCCAGAGAAACAUAGAUCUGUGGGAAGUAAAUCAUUGGUGUGAGAAAAGAACCCGCCCAGCCCAGCUGGCUUCAUGCUGUGAGUCUUAGGCCAGAGAGCACCUUGCACUCUGGAUUGGAAUUAUGCAGCUCCCAUUGGAACACCAACUAUCAAACUGCUAAAAUUAUUAAUCUGAGUGAUACUCUCACUUCUCUUAUAAAACUUUGUUUCUAUAUUUAUUAAAGCUUUUAGUUUAAUCUUUAAUAAUUAUAUCUACUAUAGCAUCUAGCAUAGUGCUUUUGCAUAUGGUUUAUGCUCAGUUAACCUAGGCAGGCUGUUGAAACAGUGAAUUAUUAAUUACUCAUUUUACUAGGCCUUUGUAUACCCAUUUUGUCAAUUAUAGCGUACCCAUUAAUGGACAUAUUAGAAGUGAACUGCCUAUUCAGAUUAUUGAUUUGUUUCAAUUCUACUAUAAAUACUUAAAUGCCUAGCAUGAGAUUAUAUAAAAUAUCUAAGUAUCUAAGUACUAGGAUUUUAAAACCAAAAAAUUGAUUUAUAAUCUGAUACAAAAAUGACAAUACAAUUUCUAAGUAUGUUUUUCCAUAUAUAUGAAGAUCUUAGAAUAUAUCCAGUAGGUAAUAUGAAGUGUUGCUUUUCUUAAUAACUUCAGUUGUGAUUUUAUACUAGGAGAAAUAAGGGAGUGAGUGGUUUUG
This 917-nucleotide long non-coding RNA is filed under the name Marmota monax (woodchuck). Lineage: Eukaryota; Metazoa; Chordata; Mammalia; Rodentia; Sciuridae. The record is from RNAcentral.